AUGGCCAUAAAGCAUUGAAUCACCAGUUGCUGUAUGAUCACCAAAGUUAAGCAAUGUUGAACAUGAUCAGUAACUAGAUGGGUGACUGCUUGGGAAUACCAGGUGCUGUAAU
Molecule: non-coding RNA, 112 nt
Organism: Acanthosepion pharaonis
Lineage: Eukaryota; Metazoa; Mollusca; Cephalopoda; Sepiida; Sepiidae
Source: the annotation of a GenBank genome assembly